This is a long non-coding RNA of Cebus imitator (Panamanian white-faced capuchin), 1463 nucleotides long. RefSeq lists it as uncharacterized. The record is from RefSeq and is a predicted model, not a curated record. Lineage: Eukaryota; Metazoa; Chordata; Mammalia; Primates; Cebidae. The transcript is spliced from 3 exons.
CUCUUUGCAAAUUGCAGGUAACUGAUAGAUAUGCAAACUUUAUAGAUAAGCUUUCUCUCUCAUUGUGGAAACUUCAGUUUGGCAUUUACCUUGCAUAGAUUGUUAACCUUGCACUGACUGUCAACCUUUACCAGAUUUUCAAUUACUCCCAUUUCCUUCAGCAUCUGGCUACAAACUAACAGCCUUGAAAAGAAUGAUUCCAUUUUUAUUUCUACCUCUAGACUUGUAGUCACCGGGAACUAAAAUCUGCCUAGAUUCUUAUUGACGUUCUAGGUUGCCCUGUUGCUGGUCUUUACCCCCUAGGAUUUGAAGAAUCACUGCAAGUUCAAGUCUGAGGAUUUGUUAUAAGCCUAGAAGAACUUAUUAUCAUUCCAGCUAACCAUUCAUGUUCCAACUAUCUCUAUGGAUAAGCCACUCUUUGGACUACUCAGAAAGUUUGGUAAAAUGCUCAGGUCAUGCACGCCUUUGUUGGAUAAGUUGCCAAUGCUGUGGAUGACAUUACCAAUAUGAUCAACAUCUUCAAAAACUCAGUGAAUGGCGGGAGAUUGAAUAUACAAACAGAAAAUUGCCAAGCCAUAUAUAAAAAUGCAACUUUGACCUCAACUUCUGUAACAACCAGCCUGAAGCCCAACCACAACCUCUUCAACAUCAGUAAGGACCUAGUAAAUAAUUGCCAGAUUCCAUAAUUUUUGCUUGUAUGUCUAACUUAGAACCAAUUACGGGAAGCCAAAUACGUACUCCUAACACAUCACAUAGUAUGAUCCACUUCUAAUUAGCCUGUUUCUACUUUCCCCAUGCCAACAACCUCCACUUAGGCAUACCUAAUGCCUUCCUUUUUUCUACUGUACAUCUGUCACAUCACUCUACUUGCAUUUGAGUCUCUGCCAAACAUAAUUGGUGAUUGGUGACUCUUUUGUUUAGCAAGCUCUGAAUAAAUAACAUUUGUUUGUUCUCAUUUGAGUGAUUUUUAUUUAUUUCCACAGUUUUCUUGGAAAUUCCAUCAAGAAGGUCUGCUCUGCCUAUCACCACAGACUCUAGCCUUCAGCUGGGGCAAAACCCCCUGUGCCUUACUAUUUGCCACUUGUCAAGUCCACAAUGAUGUUGGCAAGUCAGCACCAGGUCUGAACUCUACUCUCUUUGUGGCAGGGGAACUCUUUCUAGAAGACUUUGCUUUAUUCUCAUAAGCUGACCCCGAAAAUCAAGUAUCUGGCUCCUGUUACCCCUGUGUUGGAGGAGAGCAUUCUUGGGAAUAGAUGUCAAGUGAACCAACCUAUGAGAUUUGCCUCUACUAGGAAGACAACUACUUCAUGUAAUUUUCAGUAUGCAGAGGAUUUGAGGAAAAAAUUAAAACAACACCAACAGUUCAGUUUCUUACUAGAGUCUGCCGAAUUAGAAUUGGAUGCAACUGUGGCCCACAGGAUAUAUGCAAUUUCAUGCUAACUAUUUGCUGGAGAGGAAGGAGG